UGGGGAAUUUUGGACAAUGGGCGAAAGCCUGAUCCAGCAAUGCCGCGUGUGUGAAGAAGGCCUUCGGGUUGUAAAGCACUUUUGUCCGGAAAGAAAUCCUUGGCUCUAAUACAGUCGGGGGAUGACGGUACCGGAAGAAUAAGCACCGGCUAACUACGUGCCAGCAGCCGCGGUAAUACGUAGGGUCAAGCGUUAAUCGGAAUUACUGGGCGUAAAGCGUGCGCAGGCGGUUUGCUAAGACCGAUGUGAAAUCCCCGGGCUCAACCUGGGAACUGCAUUGGUGACUGGCAGGCUAGAGUAUGGCAGAGGGGGGUAGAAUUCCACGUGUAGCAGUGAAAUGCGUAGAGAUGUGGAGGAAUACCGAUGGCGAAGGCAGCCCCCUGGGCCAAUACUGACGCUCAUGCACGAAAGCGU
This 414-nucleotide ribosomal RNA is filed under the name uncultured bacterium. RNAcentral's name for it is "partial 16S ribosomal RNA". It matches the Rfam family "Bacterial small subunit ribosomal RNA", at positions 355 to 762 of the family's 1533-position model. The record is from RNAcentral.